UACGUAGGGUGCAAGCGUUGUCCGGAAUUAUUGGGCGUAAAGAGCGUGUAGGCGGCCAGGUAGGUCUGCUGUGAAAACUCGAGGCUCAACCUCGAGACGUCGGCGGAAACCAUCUGGCUAGAGUCCGGAAGAGGAGAGUGGAAUUCCCGGUGUAGCGGUGAAAUGCGCAGAUAUCAGGAAGAACACCCGUGGCGAAGGCGGCUCUCUGGGACGGUACUGACGCUGAGACGCGAAAGCGUGGGGAGCGAACAGG
This 253-nucleotide ribosomal RNA is filed under the name uncultured bacterium. RNAcentral describes it as "partial 16S ribosomal RNA". It matches the Rfam family "Bacterial small subunit ribosomal RNA", at positions 524 to 776 of the family's 1533-position model. The record is from RNAcentral.